Molecule: ribosomal RNA, 433 nt
Filed under: uncultured bacterium
Lineage: Bacteria
Description: partial 16S ribosomal RNA
Rfam family: Bacterial small subunit ribosomal RNA
Source: RNAcentral
AACGAACGCUGGCGGCAUGCCUAACACAUGCAAGUCGAACGAGACCUUCGGGACUAGUGGCGCACGGGUGCGUAACGCGUGGGAACCUGCCCUUAGGUUCGGAAUAACUCUCCGAAAGGGGUGCUAAUACCGGAUAAUGUCUUCGGACCAAAGAUUUAUCGCCUUUGGAUGGGCCCGCGUUGGAUUAGCUAGUUGGUAGGGUAAAAGCCUACCAAGGCGACGAUCCAUAGCUGGUCUGAGAGGAUGAUCAGCCACACUGGGACUGAGACACGGCCCAGACUCCUACGGGAGGCAGCAGUGGGGAAUAUUGGACAAUGGGCGAAAGCCUGAUCCAGCAAUGCCGCGUGAGUGAUGAAGGCCUUAGGGUUGUAAAGCUCUUUUACCCGGGAUGAUAAUGACAGUACCGGGAGAAUAAGCUCCGGCUAACUCCGUG